GCGUCGAGUGGAGAGAGGAAUUGAUCUGAUAACUUCAACGUUCAUCGGGAGAAAAAACUGCUCGAGCUUCCCCACGUCCCAGGAUGUAGUCUUUACUAUUCCUUAAUUUACAGUUACGUACGUAGACGGACGUACGUCCGUCCGUCUGCCUCUCUCCGUGAUCGCUCCUGCAUGAAAAGAAAACCAACGCCUCCGCACGCAAAAAAAAAACGCACCCCC
This 219-nucleotide long non-coding RNA is filed under the name Brachypodium distachyon (stiff brome). RNAcentral's name for it is "long non-coding RNA (BDIS_LNC005900)". Lineage: Eukaryota; Viridiplantae; Streptophyta; Magnoliopsida; Poales; Poaceae. The record is from RNAcentral.